Long non-coding RNA from Diorhabda sublineata, 1060 nucleotides. RefSeq lists it as uncharacterized. NCBI's taxonomy places the organism in Eukaryota, Metazoa, Arthropoda, Insecta, Coleoptera, Chrysomelidae. The transcript has 3 exons. The record is from RefSeq and is a predicted model, not a curated record.
UUGAAAACAUUAAAUUGCAUUUGGUUUUGUGGAACGAAUUCGAAAUAAGAAUGAAUAGUGUAUAAUUGUAUAUUAAUAUACCUACUCAUUACAAUAAAAUCUCAACACCUAACCUAACCUUUUCGAUCGGGCUGAGUGAUGUGACAACAAUCUGACAGGUCAUUCUGAAAAACUAGAAGAUAAAUUUUCACUGUGGGAAGAUCACCACAAAUUAGUCCACAACAGUUGGAAAAUGGUGAAAUCUGACGAUUUUAUUCCUGAUGAACUAUCAAUUUACUUGGCAAGUUUACGACUACAGAUUGUUCAAACUCAUAACUGCUUAGAUAAUCAUCAGACGAAUCUGUCUCAGAAAGUAUUCAACAUUUAUAAUGUUAUGAAAGUUUGCAGUUUCAAGAGUAAAAUGAGUUAUUUCAUAUAAUAAGUCAUCAAACAAAUUAUAAUGUUCACAGGUAAAUUUGUUUUAUUAACAAGCUUCCUGUUUCUUCUAAAUGUUUUCCCAUUCUCAUCUUUAAUGAGAUAAUAUCUCUCAUUAUAUUUUUUCACUAUCUUUCCUUCAUUCCAAGAAUUGUUUUUUUAAAACAAAACAUUUUGAAUCAUUUACAAAGGUGGCAAAUUUUUUAGCGGUUUUAUUAUACUUCUUUUGAGUUGUUUCAGAAAUGUGCUCCAAGUUUUUAUGAGAUUUUUUUGUAUUAAUAAUUGUGGGAAGAAGUUUUUCUAAAGUAAUAGGAAGUUCCAUCUUCACAAGGCGAUUUAAAAAUAAUUGGAUGGGAGCAUAUGCUAACUAGAAUAAAAAUAUAUGCGAAAUUUUACACAAUGGUGUUUGUCGCACCAGCCCGAACUCCGCAGAGUAGCUCAAUAGGCGGUCAGAAGCCGUCUCAUAUAGUGGACCAACAUAUAUAGUAAUCCGAAGUAGUAAGCACUCGUCUUCGACUGCAACUAGUCACGCUGAAGACUUGGACACUCUCUUAACUCUUCAGCCUUUUGGUAAAUUAAUGAAAAACGAAGAUGAUAAAGUCAAGCCUGUCCUUAUUAUUUCGAACGAUGGCGGUCCCGAUGAGAA